Uranotaenia lowii is the source of this 1992-nucleotide long non-coding RNA. RefSeq lists it as uncharacterized. Lineage: Eukaryota; Metazoa; Arthropoda; Insecta; Diptera; Culicidae. The record is from RefSeq and is a predicted model, not a curated record. The transcript has 3 exons.
CCACUCAAUUCUUACGAUAAACUUUCUUAAUCUUUGACUAUCUAAACAUGUCAUAAACAUCAUUUCAAACUUAUUUUUAUCAGUAAACAACCAGUAAAGUGAAUAAUACAGCGCAGAUAGAGAGAAUCAAAUCAACUGACAAACGAAAUGCCAAAUAUGGGACAGCUUUGCGGGUAUAUUUAAUCCGCAUGCGAAGUAUACUCGCAAGGCUGUCCCAUCAUUAUUUUCUCCUCCGCAUCAACAACUUCCAAAUCAAGAACACAUUGGACGAAAUUCUACAACAAUUAUCUUAAUAUCUGUGAAAAAAGAAGUAGAAAAGACUUGCCGGCAGCGGCAGAGAAGGAAUCCGGAAUCAAGCAUCAAACAAGCGUCGAAUAUACCCCCGAGCGGAACGAACUCGCUGAACGAGUCAAUCGCGCGACAGUCGAGCGCGCCAAAUGUAUGCUGUUUGAGGCGCAUCUUCCGAAACCGUUUUGGGCAGAAGCGGUCGCUGCUGCUGUUUAUUUGGUAAACAGAUCGCCCACGAAAGGUAUCGACGUUACGCCGGAAGAGGCGUGUUCCGGGCGCAAGCCGAACCUGCAACACGUGAUAGUGUUCGGGACUACCGUGAUGGCACAUGUACCCAAGUGCAAGCGCAAGAAGUGGGACAAGAAGGCAAUCGAAUGUAUUCUCACUGGUUUUGAUGAGAAUUCGAAGGCUUAUACGACAUCGCAAAGGACGAAAUUUUCAAAUCCCGAUAUGUUUCGUUAGUUGCUGAGGGCGAAAUCAACCGGGCUCAAUCAAGCGUUGCUGAAGGCAGAGGAGCUACCACGUUAGUCAGGUUGGACUUCAAUGUGGUUGGGCUUCAGUGAGGUUCCUGUCAUUCCCACGUGAGGCGAAGCAACAGAGAACGGUUCAUUUCUACGAGAUACCGCAAUUUUCAGCUCCAUUGCACUGGCCUACCUUCAUCAAAGUUCGCUGAUGGUUCAUCUCCGAUGAUUGAAACUGAAUCGGAAUCCGGGCGUAUCAGCACUGCGUCCCCCUCGCCUUCGUCGAAUGAACAACCAGGUGACAAUGAGGUCCCAACACGGUUGAUGCUCUGCGAUCGGAGGCGCCUUACCCAAGUCAAGUAUAAUUCAUUAAUUUCCUUUAUUUCAAUUACUGGUUCCGAUGUUUCACAGUUCCUGCCGAAUGAUCCCUUGUCACAUCAAGAAACGUUGGCCCAUGACGAUGCCGAAAGCUGGAAAAGUGCGAUGCCGGAGGAGCAUGAUGCUCUUAUCUCGAACGGUACAUGGGAGCUUUGUGACCUGCCCGCAGGAUGAAAUGCAAUCAAAUGCAAAUGGGUGUACCGAACUAAGCUGAACGAUGAUGGCAAAAUCGAUCGACACAAAGCCAGGCUCGUCGUCAAAGGAUAUUCGCAGCGAAAGGGGGUAGAUUACCAGGAAACCUACUCUCCAGUUGUUCGCUACGUUAUCUUUUCGCACUCGCUGCACGCUGGGACAUGAAGGUCGAUCAAAUGGAUGCCAUUACUGCGUUCCUUCAUGGUGAUUUGACGCAGGAAAUUUAUAUGGAGCAACCACCAUGCUUCAUCGACGAGAACAACAGAUCCAAGGUAUGUCGUCUCAAGAAAGCGCUCUAUGGACUCAAACAGUCAAGCAGAGUGUGGAACAAGAAGCUUGAUGUCGCUUUCAAGAAGUUUGGCCUCCAAUGUGCCGAUUACGAUCCAAGCUUGCACAUCGAGGUUUCCGGAAACGAUAUCCGUGAAUCAUUUCAUCAGGAAUGCACUGGAGAAAGGCGAAGUUGCUGUGGACUACAUCUGUACAAAAAAAAGCAAACUGCUGAUGGACUGACCAAGCCACAGAAUCGAGAGAAGAUACAUUUCUUUCAAAAUGCACUCGGUCUGCAGCAUCCAGAAGUUUGAGGAGGAGUGAAGGAGUUUUCCCAUCGAAGCAAUCAGGUUUUCUGAAGAACAUUUGUUGCUAUUAAGAAUCAAUAAAAUUUUCAUUAUGUUAC